ACUGUAUGAACUUGUCCACCAAGACCUUUCCACAGCCAGGUAGAUCCUAGCCUGUUCUGCACUCCCGGGUUAUAUUUUUACAGAUAGAGCUCUGGAAUAUUAACUAAGCUUCUCAUGCAGAUAGCUAGAUCUAAAACACCUAGUUCAAGAGUCAUCAUGUCGUCCUGUAGGAAUGGGCAGGAAGAAGGAAAAGAUAGAGGGACAAAAGUUUUUUGUCUCAUCAUACUCUUCAUAUACAUGCUGUGCAUGGUGGCUUCAUUAAGGUGGAUUCUGCGAAAAUGGAAUAAAGUUAAACCUCCACCCAGAAGACACCACAGAAUAAAAGGUAACAUGAAAAAACUGGCAUUGAAGUUUCAGGCAAC
Passer domesticus (house sparrow) is the source of this 362-nucleotide long non-coding RNA. RefSeq lists it as uncharacterized. NCBI's taxonomy places the organism in Eukaryota, Metazoa, Chordata, Aves, Passeriformes, Passeridae. The record is from RefSeq and is a predicted model, not a curated record. The transcript has 3 exons.